GGUUAAGCGAACAAGCGUACACGGUGGAUGCCCUGGCAGUCAGAGGCGAUGAAGGACGUGCUAAUCUGCGAAAAGCGCCGGUAAGGUGAUAUGAACCGUUAUAACCGGCGAUGUCCGAAUGGGGAAACCCGGUGCACUUCGGUGCAUCAUCGUUAGCUGAAUACAUAGGCUAACGAGGCGAACCGGGGGAACUGAAACAUCUAAGUACCCCGAGGAAAAGAAAUCAACCGAGAUUCCCCCAGUAGCGGCGAGCGAACGGGGAACAGCCCAGAGCCUGAAUCAGCUUGUGUGUCAGUGGAACGGUCUGGAAAGGCCGGCGAUACAGGGUGACAGCCCCGUACACGAAGGCACACAGGCUGUGAGCUCGAUGAGUAGGGCGGGACACGUGAUAUCCUGUCUGAAGAUGGGGGGACCAUCCUCCAAGGCUAAAUACUCCUGACUGACCGAUAGUGAACCAGUACCGUGAGGGAAAGGCGAAAAGAACCCCGGCGAGGGGAGUGAAACAGAACCUGAAACCGUGUACGUACAAGCAGUGGGAGCCUUCGUAAGAGGGUGACUGCGUACCUUUUGUAUAAUGGGUCAGCGACUUAUAUUCUGUAGCAAGGUUAACCGUAUAGGGGAGCCGAAGGGAAACCGAGUCUUAACCGGGCGUUAAGUUGCAGGGUAUAGACCCGAAACCCGGUGAUCUAGCCAUGGGCAGGUUGAAGGUUGGGUAACACUAACUGGAGGACCGAACCGACUAAUGUUGAAAAAUUAGCGGAUGACCUGUGGCUGGGGGUGAAAGGCCAAUCAAACCGGGAGAUAGCUGGUUCUCCCCGAAAGCUAUUUAGGUAGCGCCUCGUGAACUCAUCUCCGGGGGUAGAGCACUGUUUCGGCUAGGGGGCCAUCCCGGCUUACCAACCCGAUGCAAACUGCGAAUACCGGAGAAUGUUAUCACGGGAGACACACGGCGGGUGCUAACGUCCGUCGUGAAGAGGGAAACAACCCAGACCGCCAGCUAAGGUCCCAAAGUCAUGGUUAAGUGGGAAACGAUGUGGGAAGGCCCAGACAGCCAGGAUGUUGGCUUAGAAGCAGCCAUCAUUUAAAGAAAGCGUAAUAGCUCACUGGUCGAGUCGGCCUGCGCGGAAGAUGUAACGGGGCUAAACCAUGCACCGAAGCUGCGGCAGCGACACUAUGUGUUGUUGGGUAGGGGAGCGUUCUGUAAGCCUGUGAAGGUGUGCUGUGAGGCAUGCUGGAGGUAUCAGAAGUGCGAAUGCUGACAUAAGUAACGAUAAAGCGGGUGAAAAGCCCGCUCGCCGGAAGACCAAGGGUUCCUGUCCAACGUUAAUCGGGGCAGGGUGAGUCGACCCCUAAGGCGAGGCCGAAAGGCGUAGUCGAUGGGAAACAGGUUAAUAUUCCUGUACUUGGUGUUACUGCGAAGGGGGGACGGAGAAGGCUAUGUCGGCCGGGCGACGGUUGUCCCGGUUUAAGCGUGUAGGCUGACUUUCCAGGCAAAUCCGGAAGGUUAAGGCUGAGGCGUGAUGACGAGGCACCACGGUGCUGAAGUGACAAAUGCCCUGCUUCCAGGAAAAGCCUCUAAGCAUCAGGUAACAUCAAAUCGUACCCCAAACCGACACAGGUGGUCAGGUAGAGAAUACCAAGGCGCUUGAGAGAACUCGGGUGAAGGAACUAGGCAAAAUGGUGCCGUAACUUCGGGAGAAGGCACGCUGACAUGUAGGUGAAGCCCCUGCGGGUGGAGCUGAAGUCAGUCGAAGAUACCAGCUGGCUGCAACUGUUUAUUAAAAACACAGCACUGUGCAAACACGAAAGUGGACGUAUACGGUGUGACGCCUGCCCGGUGCCGGAAGGUUAAUUGAUGGGGUUAUCGCAAGAGAAGCUCCUGAUCGAAGCCCCGGUAAACGGCGGCCGUAACUAUAACGGUCCUAAGGUAGCGAAAUUCCUUGUCGGGUAAGUUCCGACCUGCACGAAUGGCGUAAUGAUGGCCAGGCUGUCUCCACCCGAGACUCAGUGAAAUUGAACUCGCUGUGAAGAUGCAGUGUACCCGCGGCAAGACGGAAAGACCCCGUGAACCUUUACUACAGCUUGACACUGAACAUUGAGCCUUGAUGUGUAGGAUAGGUGGGAGGCUUUGAAGCGUGGACGCCAGUCUGCGUGGAGCCGACCUUGAAAUACCACCCUUUAAUGUUUGAUGUUCUAACCUGGCGCCGUGAUCCGGCGUGGGGACAGUGUCUGGUGGGUAGUUUGACUGGGGCGGUCUCCUCCCAAAGUGUAACGGAGGAGCACGAAGGUCAGCUAAUCCUGGUCGGACAUCAGGAGGUUAGUGCAAUGGCAUAAGCUGGCUUGACUGCGAGAGUGACGGCUCGAGCAGGUGCGAAAGCAGGUCAUAGUGAUCCGGUGGUUCUGUAUGGAAGGGCCAUCGCUCAACGGAUAAAAGGUACUCCGGGGAUAACAGGCUGAUACCGCCCAAGAGUUCAUAUCGACGGCGGUGUUUGGCACCUCGAUGUCGGCUCAUCACAUCCUGGGGCUGAAGUAGGUCCCAAGGGUAUGGCUGUUCGCCAUUUAAAGUGGUACGCGAGCUGGGUUUAGAACGUCGUGAGACAGUUCGGUCCCUAUCUGCCGUGGGCGCUGGAGAAUUGAGGGGGGCUGCUCCCAGUACGAGAGGACCGGAGUGGACGCAUCACUGGUGUUCGGGUUGUCAUGCCAAUGGCACUGCCCGGUAGCUAAAUGCGGAAGAGAUAAGUGCUGAAAGCAUCUAAGCACGAAACUUGCCCCGAGAUGAGUUCUCCCUGAGACUGUAAGUCUCCUGAAGGAACGUUGAAGACGACGACGUUGAUAGGCCGGGUGUGUAAGCGCAGCGAUGCGUUGAGCUAACCGGUACUAAUGAACCGUGAGGCUUAACCUU
RNAcentral lists this ribosomal RNA (2902 nucleotides) under Cronobacter sakazakii. RNAcentral's name for it is "23S ribosomal RNA". It matches the Rfam family "Bacterial large subunit ribosomal RNA". Lineage: Bacteria; Pseudomonadati; Pseudomonadota; Gammaproteobacteria; Enterobacterales; Enterobacteriaceae. The record is from RNAcentral.